GCCUAACACAUGCAAGUCGAACGGUACAGGAAUCAGCUUGCUGAUUUGCUGACGAGUGGCGGACGGGUGAGUAAUGUCUGGGAAACUGCCUGAUGGAGGGGGAUAACUACUGGAAACGGUAGCUAAUACCGCAUAAUGUCGCAAGACCAAAGAGGGGGACCUUCGGGCCUCUUGCCAUCGGAUGUGCCCAGAUGGGAUUAGCUAGUAGGUGGGGUAACGGCUCACCUAGGCGACGAUCCCUAGCUGGUCUGAGAGGAUGACCAGCCACACUGGAACUGAGACACGGUCCAGACUCCUACGGGAGGCAGCAGUGGGG
Molecule: ribosomal RNA, 316 nt
Filed under: Acinetobacter baumannii
Lineage: Bacteria; Pseudomonadati; Pseudomonadota; Gammaproteobacteria; Moraxellales; Moraxellaceae
Description: bacterial SSU rRNA
Rfam family: Bacterial small subunit ribosomal RNA
Source: RNAcentral